GACGAACGCUGGCGGCGUGCCUAAUACAUGCAAGUCGAGCGAAGUUUUUCUGGUGCUUGCACUAGAAAAACUUAGCGGCGAACGGGUGAGUAACACGUAAAGAACCUGCCUCAUAGACUGGGACAACUAUUGGAAACGAUAGCUAAUACCGGAUAACAGCAUUAACUGCAUGGUUGAUGUUUAAAAGUUGGUUUUGCUAACACUAUGAGAUGGCUUUGCGGUGCAUUAGCUAGUUGGUGGGGUAAAGGCCUACCAAGGCGACGAUGCAUAGCCGACCUGAGAGGGUGAUCGGCCACACUGGGACUGAGACACGGCCCAGACUCCUACGGGAGGCAGCAGUAGGGAAUCUUCCGCAAUGGGCGAAAGCCUGACGGAGCAACGCCGCGUGAGUGAAGAAGGAUUUCGGUUCGUAAAGCUCUGUUGUUAGGGAAGAAUGAUUGUGUAGUAACUAUACACAGUAAGAGACGGUACC
RNAcentral lists this ribosomal RNA (472 nucleotides) under Gemella haemolysans. Its description in RNAcentral is "bacterial SSU rRNA". It matches the Rfam family "Bacterial small subunit ribosomal RNA", at positions 28 to 479 of the family's 1533-position model. Lineage: Bacteria; Bacillati; Bacillota; Bacilli; Caryophanales; Gemellaceae. The record is from RNAcentral.